RNAcentral lists this long non-coding RNA (1038 nucleotides) under Oryctolagus cuniculus (rabbit). RNAcentral's name for it is "lncRNA (ENSOCUG00000039429.1)". The record is from RNAcentral. Lineage: Eukaryota; Metazoa; Chordata; Mammalia; Lagomorpha; Leporidae.
AUGGUUCUGGAGGUGAGUGCAGGUGGAGGAGGAGUGGUCGGAGGAGCAGGUGAGGAGGGAGGGGUCUGUGGAGGCUGCUCUCCCGGAGCUUUUAUUUCCCAGCCGGCACCUGGCCCUGGCACCUGCCACUUCCUCGUGUGUGUUUACGUCACGUUCUUGGCACGUUCUGUGUGUCCUCUACUUAAAAAUAGAGGCUAUGCCUGUAGCAUGAUUGCCCCUCUGCUGUGGUCUCUGCUCCCUGGACAGGUGCAGCGUCGGCUGCUGUUCAGCCAGGGCCGGCUCGGUGCUAACUCCCGAGUGCUCUCUCCGUCUGCCUGCCUGUCUGUCUGCUCUGUGCUCGGCUGCUAUGGGGACAUUCUUGUGAGUCUGGGAGGUGUUGGGGUGUCUCGUGGACCCAGCUCCCCAAUCCUAGCCCCCUGCAGGCCCUCUGCCAUGUUCCCUGGCUCCCUGCUCCCCCUCCCCUGCACCUGCGUCCUGCCAGGAACAGUCAGUGAGCACAGCCGCAGAACGCGCUGGCCCAAGCCGCCACCGCUGCCGCCCCCACCCCAGCCCUGCCCUGCCCUGCCCUGCCCUGCCCUGCCUGUACUUCAGCGGCACAGCCGCGAGUCCCUCUCAGCUCUCCGCUUCUAUCAGCCAUCGUGUGGAGAGCGAUGGCUCUCUGCCCUCGCCCCAUCUGGGAUCCGGGCAUCACCAGGGGAGGCCCUGGGUUUGCUUAUCCCGCCUGCCGACCCCCACGCCGCCCACCCCCCGACACAGACCCUGGAGCUCCUCCUGACCCACCUCGUAGCCAGCCCCAGUGUCAGUCCCCGCUCGGGCAGGUGCCCCUCACCCGCUUCUCCCUUGGAGAGCUCCCUGUGUGUCCUCGGCCCACUCCUCCAGUCUGCCCCCCCCAGAUCCACGGAGCCCUGUCCACGUCCACAGCGGUCAGCGGGUCGCCCUGCUGUGUUUUGCGGAUCCCUUGUCUGUGGGGAACGCAUCCUUAGUGACUUCCUGAGGGAGGGGCCGGCGGGUGCCCCCUUUAGACAUCAGGUAGAGUAG